This 429-nucleotide ribosomal RNA is filed under the name Bacteroidota bacterium. Its description in RNAcentral is "Bacteroidetes bacterium partial 16S ribosomal RNA". It matches the Rfam family "Bacterial small subunit ribosomal RNA", at positions 355 to 776 of the family's 1533-position model. Lineage: Bacteria; Pseudomonadati; Bacteroidota. The record is from RNAcentral.
UAGGGAAUCUUCGGCAAUGGGGGGAACCCUGACCGAGCAACGCCGCGUGAGUGAAGAAGGUUUUCGGAUCGUAAAGCUCUGUUGUUAAGGAAGAACGAGUGUGAGAAUGGAAAGUUCAUACUGUGACGGUACUUAACCAGAAAGGGACGGCUAACUACGUGCCAGCAGCCGCGGUAAUACGUAGGUCCCGAGCGUUGUCCGGAUUUAUUGGGCGUAAAGCGAGCGCAGGCGGUUAGAUAAGUCUGAAGUUAAAGGCAGUGGCUCAACCAUUGUAGGCUUUGGAAACUGUUUAACUUGAGUGCAGAAGGGGAGAGUGGAAUUCCAUGUGUAGCGGUGAAAUGCGUAGAUAUAUGGAGGAACACCGGUGGCGAAAGCGGCUCUCUGGUCUGUAGCUGACGCUGAGGCUCGAAAGCGUGGGGAGCGAACAGG